GACGAACGCUGGCGGCGUGCUUAACACAUGCAAGUCGAACGCUGAAGACCUGGCUUUUGUUGGGUUGGAUGAGUGGCGAACGGGUGAGUAACACGUGAGUAACCUGCCCUCUUCUUUGGGAUAACGCCCGGAAACGGGUGCUAAUACUGGAUAUUCACUGAUCUUCGCAUGGGGGUUGGUGGAAAGGUUUGUUCUGGUGGGGGAUGGGCUCGCGGCCUAUCAGCGUGUUGGUGGGGUGAUGGCCUACCAAGGCUUUGACGGGUAGCCGGCCUGAGAGGGUGACCGGUCACAUUGGGACUGAGAUACGGCCCAGACUCCUACGGGAGGCAGCAGUGGGGAAUAUUGCACAAUGGGCGAAAGCCUGAUGCAGCGACGCCGCGUGAGGGAUGGAGGCCUUCGGGUUGUAAACCUCUUUCGCUCAUGGUCAAGCCGCAACUGUGGGUUGUGGUGAGGGUAGUGGGUAAAGAAGCGCCGGCUAACUACGUG
This 486-nucleotide ribosomal RNA is filed under the name uncultured bacterium. RNAcentral's name for it is "partial 16S ribosomal RNA". It matches the Rfam family "Bacterial small subunit ribosomal RNA", at positions 28 to 507 of the family's 1533-position model. The record is from RNAcentral.